UGGGGAAUUUUGGACAAUGGGCGAAAGCCUGAUCCAGCAAUGCCGCGUGUGUGAAGAAGGCCUUCGGGUUGUAAAGCACUUUUGUCCGGAAAGAAAUCCUUGGCUCUAAUACAGUCGGGGGAUGACGGUACCGGAAGAAUAAGCACCGGCUAACUACGUGCCAGCAGCCGCGGUAAUACGUAGGGUGCAAGCGUUAAUCGGAAUUACUGGGCGUAAAGCGUGCGCAGGCGGUUUGCUAAGACCGAUGUGAAAUCCCCGGGCUCAACCUGGGAACUGCAUUGGUGACUGGCAGGCUAGAGUAUGGCAGAGGGGGGUAGAAUUCCACGUGUAGCAGUGAAAUGCGUAGAGAUGUGGAGGAAUACCGAUGGCGAAGGCAGCCCCCUGGGCCAAUACUGACGCUCAUGCACGAAAGCGUGAGGAGCAAACAGGAUUAGAUACCCUGGUAGUCCACGCCCUAAACGAUGUCAACUAGUUGUUGGGAUUCAUUUUCCUUAGUAACGUAGCUAACGCGUGAAGUUGACCGCCUGGGGAGUACGGUCGCAAGAUUAAAACUCAAAUG
Molecule: ribosomal RNA, 559 nt
Filed under: uncultured bacterium
Lineage: Bacteria
Description: partial 16S ribosomal RNA
Rfam family: Bacterial small subunit ribosomal RNA
Source: RNAcentral